GUUUGGAACAGCCGGACAAUUGGUGAGUUGUUGGCGCUCGCUCAAGCCAAUGCCCCCAAGCUUGUCUUCUUAUGUGAAACUAGGCAAGCUUUCAGUUCGGUUGAAAGGUUGAAAUGCAAACUAGGUAGGAGAGGAUUAUGUGGAGUAGAUGGGCAAGGGCUCGGCGGUGGUCUUGCUCUGUUUUAGGAUGAAUCGUUGCAAGUAAAUAUUUUUGAUAAAUGUGACAGAUACAUUGAUGUGCACAUGGUUGACCCUGGGAAUGCUACUAAUAGGAACUACAUAUGUAUAUGGCGAGCCACGAACGUAAAAUAG
This 312-nucleotide ribosomal RNA is filed under the name Triticum aestivum (bread wheat). RNAcentral's name for it is "partial small subunit ribosomal RNA". The record is from RNAcentral. Lineage: Eukaryota; Viridiplantae; Streptophyta; Magnoliopsida; Poales; Poaceae.